AACACAUUAGCUCAGCUAGGUAGAGCACUUACCGAAAUGGUAAGAGGUCACAGGUUCAAUUCCUGUAUGUGUUA
Molecule: transfer RNA, 74 nt
Filed under: Limosilactobacillus reuteri
Lineage: Bacteria; Bacillati; Bacillota; Bacilli; Lactobacillales; Lactobacillaceae
Description: tRNA-Phe
Rfam family: tRNA
About the family: Transfer RNA (tRNA) molecules are approximately 80 nucleotides in length. Their secondary structure includes four short double-helical elements and three loops (D, anti-codon, and T loops).
Source: RNAcentral